Molecule: transfer RNA, 62 nt
Filed under: Staphylococcus pseudintermedius
Lineage: Bacteria; Bacillati; Bacillota; Bacilli; Caryophanales; Staphylococcaceae
Description: tRNA-Lys
Rfam family: tRNA
About the family: Transfer RNA (tRNA) molecules are approximately 80 nucleotides in length. Their secondary structure includes four short double-helical elements and three loops (D, anti-codon, and T loops). Further hydrogen bonds mediate the characteristic L-shaped molecular structure. tRNAs have two regions of fundamental functional importance: the anti-codon, which is responsible for specific mRNA codon recognition, and the 3' end, to which the tRNAs corresponding amino acid is attached (by aminoacyl-tRNA synthetases). tRNAs cope with the degeneracy of the genetic code in two manners: having more than one tRNA (with a specific anti-codon) for a particular amino acid; and 'wobble' base-pairing, i.e. permitting non-standard base-pairing at the 3rd anti-codon position.
Source: RNAcentral
AGCUCAGUUGGUAGAGCAGUUGACUUUUAAUCAAUUGGUCGCAGGUUCGAAUCCUGCUGGGA